AAACCGACGGUGUUAUGCCUUAGUACGGCGAGUGAAGCGGCAAAAGCUCAAAUUUGAAAUCUGGCGUCUUCGACGUCCGAGUUGUAAUUUGAAGAAGGCGACUUUGUAGCUGGUCCUUGUCUAUGUUCCUUGGAACAGGACGUCAUAGAGGGUGAGAAUCCCGUGUGGCGAGGAUCCCAGUUAUUUGUAAAGUGCUUUCGACGAGUCGAGUUGUUUGGGAAUGCAGCUCUAAGUGGGUGGUAAAUUCCAUCUAAAGCUAAAUAUUGGCGAGAGACCGAUAGCGAACAAGUACAGUGAUGGAAAGAUGAAAAGAACUUUGAAAAGAGAGUGAAAAAGUACGUGAAAUUGUUGAAAGGGAAGGGCAUUUGAUCAGACAUGGCGUUUGCUUCGGCUUUCGCUGGGCCAGCAUCAGUUUUAGCGGUUGGAUAAAUCCUCGGGAAUGUGGCUCUGCUUCGGUAGAGUGUUAUAGCCCGUGGGAAUACAGCCAGCUGGGACUGAGGAUUGCGACUUUUGUCAAGGAUGCUGGCGUAAUGGUUAAAUGCCGCCCGUCUUGACCAACGGGACCA
This 566-nucleotide ribosomal RNA is filed under the name Kluyveromyces marxianus. RNAcentral describes it as "eukaryotic LSU rRNA". It matches the Rfam family "Eukaryotic large subunit ribosomal RNA", at positions 62 to 664 of the family's 3401-position model. The record is from RNAcentral. Lineage: Eukaryota; Fungi; Ascomycota; Saccharomycetes; Saccharomycetales; Saccharomycetaceae.